UAGGGAAUCUUCCGCAAUGGACGCAAGUCUGACGGAGCAACGCCGCGUGAGUGAAGAAGGAUUUCGGUUCGUAAAACUCUGUUGUUAGAGAAGAACAGCGCAUAGAGUAACUGUUAUGCGUGUGACGGUAUCUAACCAGAAAGCCACGGCUAACUACGUGCCAGCAGCCGCGGUAAUACGUAGGUGGCAAGCGUUGUCCGGAUUUAUUGGGCGUAAAGCGAGCGCAGGCGGUCAAUUAAGUCUGAUGUGAAAGCCCCCGGCUCAACCGGGGAGGGUCAUUGGAAACUGGUUGACUUGAGUGCAGAAGAGGAGCGUGGAAUUCCAUGUGUAGCGGUGAAAUGCGUAGAUAUAUGGAGGAACACCAGUGGCGAAGGCGACUCUCUGGUCUGUAACUGACGCUGAGGCUCGAAAGCGUGGGUAGCAAACAGG
Molecule: ribosomal RNA, 429 nt
Filed under: Bacteroidota bacterium
Lineage: Bacteria; Pseudomonadati; Bacteroidota
Description: Bacteroidetes bacterium partial 16S ribosomal RNA
Rfam family: Bacterial small subunit ribosomal RNA
Source: RNAcentral